RNAcentral lists this ribosomal RNA (508 nucleotides) under Pentatrichomonas hominis. RNAcentral describes it as "SSU rRNA". It matches the Rfam family "Eukaryotic small subunit ribosomal RNA", at positions 1031 to 1576 of the family's 1831-position model. The record is from RNAcentral. Lineage: Eukaryota; Parabasalia; Trichomonadida; Trichomonadidae.
UGUAAACGAUGCCGACAGAGGUUUGUCAUUUUAUAAUGGCAGAACUUUUAGAGAAAUCAUAGUUCUUGGGCUCUGGGGGAACUACGACCGCGAGGCUGAAACUUGAAGGAAUUGACGGAAGGGCACACCAGGGGUGGAGCCUGUGGCUUAAUUUGAAUCAACACGGGGAAACUUACCAGGACCAGAUGUUUUUUAUGACUGACAGGCUUCGGGUCUUUCAGGAUAUUGCUUUUGGUGGUGCAUGGCCGUUGGUGGUGCGUGGGUUGACCUGUCUAGCGUUGAUUCAGCUAACGAGCGAGAUUAUCGCCAAUUAUAUACCUCGCAUUGGCUUCAGUGUUGAGGUUCUAAUUGGGACUCCCUGCGAUUUUAGCAGGCGGAAGAGGGUAGCAAUAACAGGUCCGUGAUGUCCUUUAGAUGCUCUGGGCUGCACGCGUGCUACAAUGCUAAGAUCAAUAGGAAGCUAGUCUGAUAGGACAUGCUACUCUUAUAAUCCUUAGCGUAGUUGGGA